Molecule: ribosomal RNA, 498 nt
Filed under: uncultured bacterium
Lineage: Bacteria
Description: partial 16S ribosomal RNA
Rfam family: Bacterial small subunit ribosomal RNA
Source: RNAcentral
ACGAACGCUGGCGGCGUGCUUAACGCAUGCAAGUCGAACGGGCCUGUCUUCUUUUUUGGGGGUGGGUUGAGUGGCGAACGGGUGAGUAUCACGUGAGUAACCUGCCCUUCGGUCCUGGAUAACCGCUUGAAAGGGCGGCUAAUACGGGGUGGUCCGGUUGGUCCGCAUGGGCUGGUCGGGAUAGAUUCACUGUUUUUGGUGUUUCGGCGGGGGAUGGGCUCGCGGCCUAUCAGCUUGUUGGUGGGGUGAUGGCCUACCAAGGCGGUGACGGGUAGCCGGCCUGAGAGGGUGGGCGGCCACACUGGGACUGAGAUACGGCCCAGACUCCUGCGGGAGGCAGCAGUGGGGGGUAUUGCACAAUGGGCGGAAGCCUGAUGCAGCGACGUCGCGUGAGGGAUGGAGGCCUUCGGGUUGUGAACCUCUGUUUCCGGUGGUGAAGGCCCUGUCCGUGUGGUGGGGUUGACGGUAGCCGGGGAUGAAGCGCCGGCUAACUACGUG